AAUUUACCUCAGACUAAAGGAUAUUCUGAAUCCAUAAUACAAAGCUUAAAAGCCAGCCUGGAAAGAAUCAGAUUGUUUCCAAGUAACUUAACUGCAUCCCAAAUCAAAGUCCAAAAAUAUUUAAAGAUCCAAAACUGGAUGAAGUCCCAACAAGCCCUGAGAGCCAGUUGGCUUCUCCUGUGGAAUUCAUUGAAACCAUCAUGGUAUUCCCAACUUGUGGACUGCCCUAUGGAAAUCAGGCUUGCCAAUCCCCAUGGUGCAUGAGAAGCUUUGAACGACCAGCAGGAACUGGCAGCAACAUCUUUUGCAAGUUCCAGAAAACAGUUAAAGGACUUCAGUAACAGGGCCAGCAUGGAAUAAAAAAUAAAAUAAAAUAAAAUAAAGGCUACUUGAAAGUGACAAGAUCUGAAGGAAUGAAGUCCUGAAGCAUGUGACAUGAAUAAACCUUGGG
This is a long non-coding RNA of Choloepus didactylus (southern two-toed sloth), 451 nucleotides long. RefSeq lists it as uncharacterized. NCBI's taxonomy places the organism in Eukaryota, Metazoa, Chordata, Mammalia, Pilosa, Megalonychidae. The transcript is spliced from 4 exons. The record is from RefSeq and is a predicted model, not a curated record.